UUGCCAGACUCCUACGGGAGGCAGCAGUGAGGAAUAUUGGUCAAUGGACGAGAGUCUGAACCAGCCAAGUAGCGUGAAGGAUGACUGCCCUAUGGGUUGUAAACUUCUUUUAUAAAGGAAUAAAACGAGGCACGUGUGCCUUUUUGCAUGUACUUUAUGAAUAAGGAUCGGCUAACUCCGUGCCAGCAGCCGCGGUAAUACGGAGGAUCCGAGCGUUAUCCGGAUUUAUUGGGUUUAAAGGGAGCGUAGAUGGGUUGUUAAGUCAGUUGUGAAAGUUUGCGGCUCAACCGUAAAAUUGCAAUUGAUACUGGCAGUCUUGAGUACAGUUGAGGUAGGCGGAAUUCGUGGUGUAGCGGUGAAAUGCUUAGAUAUCACGAAGAACCCCGAUUGCGAAGGCAGCCUGCCGCAGCGUUACUGACGCUGAAGCUCGAAAGCGCGGGUAUCGAACAGGAUUAGAUACCCUCGUAG
Molecule: ribosomal RNA, 468 nt
Filed under: uncultured bacterium
Lineage: Bacteria
Description: bacterial SSU rRNA
Rfam family: Bacterial small subunit ribosomal RNA
Source: RNAcentral